AGAUGUUGGGUUAAGUCCCGCAACGAGCGCAACCCCCGUCCUUAUUUGCUACCAUUUAGUUGAGCACUCUAAGGAGACUGCCGGUGAUAAGCCGCGAGGAAGGUGGGGAUGACGUCAAGUCCUCAUGGCCCUUACGGGCUGGGCUACACACGUGCUACAAUGGCAGUGACAAUGGGAUGCUAAGGGGCGACCCCUCGCAAAUCUCAAAAAGCCGUCUCAGUACCGAUUGCGCUCUGCAACUCGAGCCCAUGAAGAUGGAAUCGCUAGUAAUCGUGGAUCAUCAUGCCACGGAGAAUACGUUCCCGGGCCUUGUAACACCGCCCGUCACACCAUGGGAGUUGGUUUUACCUGAACGUAGUGCGCUA
Molecule: ribosomal RNA, 365 nt
Filed under: Rhodopseudomonas faecalis
Lineage: Bacteria; Pseudomonadati; Pseudomonadota; Alphaproteobacteria; Hyphomicrobiales; Nitrobacteraceae
Description: bacterial SSU rRNA
Rfam family: Bacterial small subunit ribosomal RNA
Source: RNAcentral